RNAcentral lists this ribosomal RNA (484 nucleotides) under uncultured bacterium. RNAcentral describes it as "partial 16S ribosomal RNA". It matches the Rfam family "Bacterial small subunit ribosomal RNA", at positions 30 to 507 of the family's 1533-position model. The record is from RNAcentral.
AUUGAACGCUGGCGGCAGGCCUAACACAUGCAAGUCGAGCGGAUGAAGGGAGCUUGCUCCUGGAUUCAGCGGCGGACGGGUGAGUAAUGCCUAGGAAUCUGCCUGGUAGUGGGGGAUAACGUCCGGAAACGGGCGCUAAUACCGCAUACGUCCUGAGGGAGAAAGUGGGGGAUCUUCGGACCUCACGCUAUCAGAUGAGCCUAGGUCGGAUUAGCUAGUUGGUGGGGUAAAGGCCUACCAAGGCGACGAUCCGUAACUGGUCUGAGAGGAUGAUCAGUCACACUGGAACUGAGACACGGUCCAGACUCCUACGGGAGGCAGCAGUGGGGAAUAUUGGACAAUGGGCGAAAGCCUGAUCCAGCCAUGCCGCGAGUGUGAAGAAGGUCUUCGGAUUGUAAAGCACUUUAAGUUGGGAGGAAGGGCAGUAAGUUAAUACCUUGCUGUUUUGACGUUACCAACAGAAUAAGCACCGGCUAACUUCGUG